This 1194-nucleotide long non-coding RNA is filed under the name Capsicum annuum. Its description in RNAcentral is "long non-coding RNA (CANN_LNC019647)". The record is from RNAcentral. Lineage: Eukaryota; Viridiplantae; Streptophyta; Magnoliopsida; Solanales; Solanaceae.
CUGUUCACUUUCUAACGCAAAUAACUUAAAAGAAAUCUUGAAGACAUAAUCUUUAAAUCAAAGCAAAAAUAUAGAGAAACCGUCGACUACCCCAGAUCACCCUCAUCCUCUUUACGGCUGACCAUAUCAGUCCGUAAACUACUUUGUUUUUCCGCACGUGGAGACCAAGCUUUACACACAACAAUGACGAAACUGAAGUUAGUAGGAGCAGAUUUUUGUCAAGCAAAGCAGAUCGUACGAACAAUGUGUGGAUAAUAUAAACGAGCCAUGGAAUGAAAAAUCAAAAGCUUUGGAAUCAAACCACGAGAAAUUGGACAAAUUAACAUCUAACAGAAAACAAAUAGCCUUCAGUUUUCACCAAUCAGCAUCGAAACUACUGAUUAAUCCCUUUAUCACAGCAACUAUAAAAUUCCAACUUCUGGAAUUACAACUCAAGAAUCAACUACCCUCGGAAAGACGUGAACACAAUUUUUCAUUAGUUUUUGGCUUAAAUCACAACUCCAAACUUCUAACAUAAUCAGAUUUUAACAAUUAAACUCAAACGACGGAUAAGACUCAAAAUGACCAUCGGAUUCAUCAAAUUGUUCGACAUAUGAAGGCAGGAAACAACGAAAGAAAAAGAAAGAAGAAAAAAUAAAAUGAUGCGGUCACAUAACACCAAAGAGAAUUCAUACCAAACCAAACAAGUUCAAAUUCAACCUGAGAGGAAAAUAUCAAUCAAUUACAGGAGGAGAACUAGAUGAGUAUUUUACCUCUUUGCAAGCAGAAAACCGGACUACAGGCUUUGUCAGAAUCUCUCUACCAUCACCGAAAUGAACUUGGAUUCUUAUCCUAUAUAUUCGAGCUCAAAACAAGCCUUAUCGAAUUUCUCAGCACCGAAAUCCUUCUUCAGAUAGCAAAAUCCUAUGCUUUCUUGGGGUUCUCGCUAUCCGAACUUCCCCACCUUUCAGUGAAAAUAAUAGGAAUAUAUACAGAAAAUAUUUUUGAGUUGAAUUGUUGUUUUUUAGUGAUGUGGGAUGGAAAUUAUGAGGGACAUGUUCGAAAUUCUAAAAGGCUGAUAGAUAAAGUCCCAUGAAUGAGUUGGAUUCGUACUAUUUUGGUACAAAAUUUGAAUUUCAAAUUCAAAAGCAGACAUGGGUGAGCUGUACGCGUGGGCUCGGGUCGAUUCGCCUAUUGGAAUUUUUGUUGGCGUUG